UAGAUAAUUAUCUUUUGAUGAAUGUUUUGGAUAUGCACAGGUUCUAUUCUCCAAAUUUAUUGCAGUUUUAUUGGAUCGCAAUUACAGAUAAAUUAUGCUUUCAGGUUUGAAUCAUAUUCGAGCUAGAACUAUUGCUAGACAGUUUUAUUGGAUCGCAAUUACAGAUAGAUUAUGCUUUCAGGGUUUAGGUGGUUGGAUGCACAGAGUUCACGCCUAUAGAGUGAGUUGUCGUCUUGCUUCCAGUUGUCCAUCAUUGAUGAGGUUUUGGGAAGACACAGAGGUUAAGUAAUAUCAAGUCUUAUUGUUAAGUGCAUGUAUAUCUUAAUUUCAAAAGGUAGAUCGUUUACUCUGGGCGGACCCCCAUACGUAGAUGUUUUAUCACCAAAUUUGGUAACCGUAUCUUGGCGUGUUAUUCUUUACUGUUUUAAUACAUUCUCUGCUACAAUCAUACAA
Molecule: long non-coding RNA, 453 nt
Organism: Salvia miltiorrhiza (redroot sage)
Lineage: Eukaryota; Viridiplantae; Streptophyta; Magnoliopsida; Lamiales; Lamiaceae
Exons: 2
Source: RefSeq, a predicted model, not a curated record